This is a long non-coding RNA of Mobula hypostoma (lesser devil ray), 907 nucleotides long. RefSeq lists it as uncharacterized. The transcript has 3 exons. The record is from RefSeq and is a predicted model, not a curated record. Lineage: Eukaryota; Metazoa; Chordata; Chondrichthyes; Myliobatiformes; Myliobatidae.
GUUUUUGAGGAUGACCUGCUCUAGGCAGAUUUGCAGCUGUGCCAUAUUCUUUCUGUUUCUUGAUGAUUGUGCACUGUACUCCAAGGGAUAUUCAGAGACUGUGAAAUUUUCCUGUAUCCAUCUCCUGACUUGUGCUUUUUAAUAACCUUUUCACAGAUUUGCUUGGAGUGUCUUCAUGGUGUAGUUUUUGGCAGGAUAGUAACUCACCAGCAGUUAGAGGUAUUAUUACGAUCAAUUGAAACACCUCGACUGCACACAGGUCUCCAAAAACAGAUCUCCAUUUAACUAAUUGCUACUUCUAAAACUAACUGGCUGCACCUGUGAUGAUUUGGCGUGUCAUAUUAAAGGAAGGACCUGAUUACACUGGACAAACUGCAGGGGAGAUUUACCAGGAUUUGCAUGGAAUGGAGCCCUUCAGUUACAAGGAGGAACAAGAAAGACAGCCACGAAACAAAGAAACACCUUAGAACCCGCUCAAGAAAACAACAAACACCAAAUGCGCAAAAAGAAAGAACAAUUUGUGCAAGUGGCAAAAACCAAGCGAAGAACACAGAAUAUAAAACAUCCAGACACAUUGAAGCGGUCUAGGAAUGUUCAGUUUAGUUCAGUCCAGUCUAAUUUAACUCCGUGUCGCUCGUUGACUGUAGGCUGCAAAGCCAGUACCCCCCAAUCAAAAUCGCACAAAACAGCAAUAAAAAAAAGGAGUAACCAGAAACCAGAAACACAUACAACAUGAACUGCAAUCCACAAACCAUACAGAAUGUGGUGGGAAUCUGGAACGCAAGGCCUGACUGGGUGGUGAAACCAAGUACCGUUGCAACGGUUAACAACGAUCUACAUGCAGUGUAUGUUUGAGUAUGUAUUGCUGUUGUAGCCCAUCCACUUCAAGGCUGGACGUAUUGUGUGA